ACGGCCUCAGAUCAGGUAGGA
Molecule: ribosomal RNA, 21 nt
Filed under: Farysia acheniorum
Lineage: Eukaryota; Fungi; Basidiomycota; Ustilaginomycetes; Ustilaginales; Ustilaginaceae
Description: partial 26S rRNA
Source: RNAcentral